AUCGUGGAUCAGCAUGCCACGGUGAAUACGUUCCCGGGUCUUGUACACACCGCCCGUCACACCAUGGGAGCCGGUAAUACCCGAAGUCAGUAGUCUAACCGCAAGGAGGACGCUGCCGAAGGUAGGAUUGGCGACUGGGGUGAAGUCGUAACAAGGUAUC
RNAcentral lists this ribosomal RNA (160 nucleotides) under uncultured bacterium. RNAcentral describes it as "partial 16S ribosomal RNA". It matches the Rfam family "Bacterial small subunit ribosomal RNA", at positions 1341 to 1500 of the family's 1533-position model. The record is from RNAcentral.